AGAUCGGGCCGCCUUGGCGGCCGCGGGAAUUCGAUUAAUUUUGGACAAUGGGGGCAACCCUGACGCAGCAACGCCGCGUGCGGGAAGAAGGCCUUCGGGUUGUAAACCGCUUUUGUCAGGGAAGAUAAUGACGGUACCUGAGGAAUAAGCACCGGCUAACUACGUGCCAGCAGCCGCGGUAAUACGUAGGGUGCAAGCGUUAAUCGGAAUUACUGGGCGUAAAGCGUGCGCAGGUGGCUUUGCAAGACAGAUGUGAAAUCCCCGGGCUUAACCUGGGAACUGCGUUUGUGACUGCAUGGCUAGAGUGCGGCAGAGGGGGAUGGAAUUCCGCGUGUAGCAGUGAAAUGCGUAGAUAUGCGGAGGAACACCGAUGGCGAAGGCAAUCCCCUGGGCCUGCACUGACACUCAUGCACGAAAGCGUGGGGAGCAAACAGGAUUAGAUACCCUGGUAGUCCACGCCCUAAACGAUGUCAACUGGUUGUUGGACGGCUUGUGUUCAGUAACGAAGCUAACGCGUGAAGUUGACCGCCUGGGGAGUACGGCCGCAAGGUUGAA
This 555-nucleotide ribosomal RNA is filed under the name uncultured bacterium. Its description in RNAcentral is "bacterial SSU rRNA". It matches the Rfam family "Bacterial small subunit ribosomal RNA", at positions 327 to 898 of the family's 1533-position model. The record is from RNAcentral.